Molecule: long non-coding RNA, 1602 nt
Organism: Sapajus apella (tufted capuchin)
Lineage: Eukaryota; Metazoa; Chordata; Mammalia; Primates; Cebidae
Exons: 5
Source: RefSeq, a predicted model, not a curated record
AAAUAGGUAGUUUACUUGUCUGCUGAAAAACACACUAUUAAAAUGACUGCUACGCAUCUCCAUGAUAGCAGAGGAAAUUCAAGUGACUUUUGCACACAAUAUUUUAUGUUGCAAUUAAAACCUAUAGCCCAGGGGCCAAAUCCAUCUAUAUCAAUUUCUGUAUUAUUUACAAUGGCAGUGGGGAGUAGCUGAGACAGAGACUCUAUACCCCAAAAUGCUAAAAUAUUUACUACCUUUACAGAAAAAGUUUGCCAACUCCUACCUAGAAUCAAAAAGGUGGGUAACAUUCCCUCUUCACAGAUGAGAACACUGGAGCAAGGAGGUCAGGCCCUUAAUCCAAGGUCAGAUGGGAAGUGGUAGAUCCACACGUGGAAUUCCAGUUUCCUGCCCUCCUGAAUUUGGCACACUAAAUGCAAAACUGCACGCCAUUCUAAGGAUACAAUCCGAGACGCGUGAACACCCACAAACAAUAUGAAAACUCACAUGAAUUGUCAAAAUAGGUCCUAAGACAGCAAGCUUAGGACCUUUCCUCAAGUACAAGAAAGAUGAUUCAAGCUAUGCACAGUGACAAUAAGCCUGCAAUCAGCGGAAAUUUUUUCACCCUGAGAUUUUUGCCUUUUUUCCCUUCAGGUAUUGCUGUGAUGACAUAAACCAAAGUACUUAUUGUAACAGUAAUCGACCCCAUCCGUGAGUUUUACUGAAACCCGGAGACCCAAUGUAUCAAAUACCAUUUGACCUAAGUGGGCCACGGCCAAGAUUUUUAUUCUAAUGGUGUUCUGGGUGGAUGUGUCUUGUGUCAACCCUAUUUUAUAUGACAGCCUCUAGGGAUGGUCAAUGUCUGAACCAGGUAGGUAUCUGCAUAACUCUCUUAAUAACAGGAAGUUCUGAUUUCCUUGUAGGAAUUUAUUAUCUUCACCCUAGCAACAGAUGACUGUUAGCAACCCAAUUCUGCAGGCAGUGCCUAUCUAUUCCUCCAUGAAUGGUUUCUACUUAAAUGUAACAAGCAUUGGACCCGAAACGAGGGAGCCCAACUGGUGUCUUUGGGUGAAAAGUGCCUCGACCUCUUCAAAAGCAGACUGGCAGAUGGUCCCCAGACAGGAGGCCUAGACAGUGGCAAGGCUUCUAGGUGAAGCCUCCGGCCCCCAGAGAGGGGAACCUCUUCCUGCGGAAAUGAAGGUAAUCAGAACCUACCUCUUAAUAGGGCGAUGGACUGAACGCACUCAUGAUGAUGGAGGUGAAAAUGCUGCCUGACCCGGACACACGCUGAUAAAGUGUUAGGUGAGCUCUAAGGAGAUAUGUGAAUUCAAAUAUUAGCACCCAUGAAAAAUAUGUGUCACAGGAGCUGCUCCGGUGGAGGUGAGGAGAGUCACAGGAGACAAAGGAGGAUGGGGAAAUAAACAAAUGCAGAAAAUUAUCAGACAAUUUGGAAGACAAUUUAAGUAGCAACAGGAAUUUAUAAUAUAAGCUACACAAUAUAAUAGGUAACUAUGCAGUUUUUUAUAAUCGUGUGGAUAUUAAAUGUUAAUUUUCUAUUAUCACUGAUGGGUACAUAAGAGUUUUAUAUACUGUCCUUUGUACUUUUCUAAAUUUUUUUCUGAAUUU